RNAcentral lists this ribosomal RNA (253 nucleotides) under uncultured bacterium. Its description in RNAcentral is "partial 16S ribosomal RNA". It matches the Rfam family "Bacterial small subunit ribosomal RNA", at positions 524 to 776 of the family's 1533-position model. The record is from RNAcentral.
UACGGGGGGAGCAAGCGUUGUCCGGAUUUACUGGGCGUAAAGCGCGCGUAGGCGGCCCGGUAAGUCCGUUGUGAAAGUCAAAGGCUCAACCUUUGAACGCCGAUGGAUACUGCCGGGCUAGAGUCCGGAAGAGGCGAGUGGAAUUCCUGGUGUAGCGGUGGAAUGCGCAGAUAUCAGGAGGAACACCAAUAGCGAAGGCAGCUCGCUGGGACGGUACUGACGCUGAGGCGCGAAAGCGUGGGGAGCGAACAGG